RNAcentral lists this long non-coding RNA (206 nucleotides) under Nicotiana benthamiana. Its description in RNAcentral is "long non-coding RNA (NBEN_LNC000261)". Lineage: Eukaryota; Viridiplantae; Streptophyta; Magnoliopsida; Solanales; Solanaceae. The record is from RNAcentral.
AACGAGCGUAAGAUGAGGAAAGAAGCAAUGAAGCAUGAGCGGGCACGGUUGGAGCAAGAAAAUUCAAAACAAUUGGAAUUACACAAGAAAAAGAAGGAAGAGGAAAAGAAGAAAAAGGAGGCUGAUGCAAUAACAAGGAAAAGGCUGAGGGAAGAAGAAGAGAAAAAUGACAAGGAAAAGAAAAGAAAGCGAGUAGAAGAAGCACG